UCCGCUUCGUACGAAGAGGAGUAAGGAUCGGACCAAGAUGUGGCGUGAGCCACUGACACGCAGCACAAUGAUGAUGUCACUGAUUCUACUGCUGGGAACACUGGGACUCCUUGUUCAGGACUCAUCAGCAGAUAUAAUAAUGACAGUCUCCUAAAUCUCAGUCUGUUAGUCCAGGAGAGACUGUCUCUAUCAGCUGUACAGCCAGUUCAAGUACUAGUGAUUAUCUCCACUGGUACCUGCAGAAACCUGGAGAAGCUCC
Oncorhynchus keta (chum salmon) is the source of this 259-nucleotide long non-coding RNA. RefSeq lists it as uncharacterized. The transcript has 3 exons. Lineage: Eukaryota; Metazoa; Chordata; Actinopteri; Salmoniformes; Salmonidae. The record is from RefSeq and is a predicted model, not a curated record.